RNAcentral lists this ribosomal RNA (690 nucleotides) under Pediococcus acidilactici. RNAcentral's name for it is "bacterial SSU rRNA". It matches the Rfam family "Bacterial small subunit ribosomal RNA", at positions 746 to 1435 of the family's 1533-position model. The record is from RNAcentral. Lineage: Bacteria; Bacillati; Bacillota; Bacilli; Lactobacillales; Lactobacillaceae.
CUGAGGCUCGAAAGCAUGGGUAGCGAACAGGAUUAGAUACCCUGGUAGUCCAUGCCGUAAACGAUGAUUACUAAGUGUUGGAGGGUUUCCGCCCUUUCAGUGCUGCAGCUAACGCAUUAAGUAAUCCGCCUGGGGAGUACGACCGCAAGGUUGAAACUCAAAAGAAUUGACGGGGGCCCGCACAAGCGGUGGAGCAUGUGGUUUAAUUCGAAGCUACGCGAAGAACCUUACCAGGUCUUGACAUCUUCUGCCAACCUAAGAGAUUAGGCGUUCCCUUCGGGGACAGAAUGACAGGUGGUGCAUGGUUGUCGUCAGCUCGUGUCGUGAGAUGUUGGGUUAAGUCCCGCAACGAGCGCAACCCUUAUUACUAGUUGCCAGCAUUCAGUUGGGCACUCUAGUGAGACUGCCGGUGACAAACCGGAGGAAGGUGGGGACGACGUCAAAUCAUCAUGCCCCUUAUGACCUGGGCUACACACGUGCUACAAUGGAUGGUACAACGAGUCGCGAAACCGCGAGGUUUAGCUAAUCUCUUAAAACCAUUCUCAGUUCGGACUGUAGGCUGCAACUCGCCUACACGAAGUCGGAAUCGCUAGUAAUCGCGGAUCAGCAUGCCGCGGUGAAUACGUUCCCGGGCCUUGUACACACCGCCCGUCACUCCAUGAGAGUUUGUAACACCCAAAGCCGGUGGGG